Molecule: non-coding RNA, 73 nt
Filed under: uncultured Dysosmobacter sp.
Lineage: Bacteria; Bacillati; Bacillota; Clostridia; Eubacteriales; Oscillospiraceae
Description: Glycine riboswitch
Rfam family: Glycine riboswitch aptamer
About the family: This family represents the bacterial glycine riboswitch. Glycine riboswitches usually consist of two metabolite-binding aptamers domains with similar structures in tandem.
Source: RNAcentral
AACCAGGAGAGACUGUAAAAGCAGGAUACAGCGCCGAAGGGGAAUGCGAAAACUCUCAGGCAAAGGGACUGGU